This 142-nucleotide non-coding RNA is filed under the name uncultured Pseudodesulfovibrio sp. Its description in RNAcentral is "FMN riboswitch (RFN element)". It matches the Rfam family "FMN riboswitch aptamer (RFN element)". From Rfam's summary of the family: The RFN element is a highly conserved domain that is found frequently in the 5'-untranslated regions of prokaryotic mRNAs that encode for flavin mononucleotide (FMN) biosynthesis and transport proteins. This element is a metabolite-dependent riboswitch that directly binds FMN in the absence of proteins. Lineage: Bacteria; Pseudomonadati; Thermodesulfobacteriota; Desulfovibrionia; Desulfovibrionales; Desulfovibrionaceae. The record is from RNAcentral.
UACUUUCAGGGCGGGGUGAAAUUCCCCACCGGCGGUAUCCCGGCUCGGCCGGGGAGCCCGCGAGCGCUCCUGCAUGGGCAGGAGGUCAGCAGAUCCGGUGAAAUGCCGGAGCCGACGGUAAUAGUCCGGAUGAAAGAGGGUA